UACGUAGGGACCAAGCGUUGUUCGGAUUUACUGGGCGUAGAGGGCGCGUAGGCGGCAAUUCAAGUCAUCUGUGAAAUCUCCGGGCUUAACUCGGAAUGGUCAGGUGAUACUGCUUUGCUAGAGUGCAGAAGGGGCAAUCGGAAUUCUUGGUGUAGCGGUGAAAUGCGUAGAUAUUGGAAAGACCACCAAUGGCGAAGGCACUCUACUGGGCCAUUACUGACACUGAGAGACGAAAGCUAGGGGAGCAAAUGGG
This 253-nucleotide ribosomal RNA is filed under the name uncultured bacterium. RNAcentral's name for it is "partial 16S ribosomal RNA". It matches the Rfam family "Bacterial small subunit ribosomal RNA", at positions 524 to 776 of the family's 1533-position model. The record is from RNAcentral.